AACGAACGCUGGCGGCAGGCCUAACACAUGCCAGUCGAGCGGACCCUUCGGGGUUAGCGGCGGACGGGUGAGUAACGCGUGGGAAUAUGCCCUUCUCUACGGAAUAGUCCUGGGAAACUGGGGGUAAUACCGUAUACGCCCUUUGGGGGAAAGAUUUAUCGGGGAAGGAUUAGCCCGCGUUGGAUUAGGUAGUUGGUGGGGUAAUGGCCUACCAAGCCGACGAUCCAUAGCUGGUUUGAGAGGAUGAUCAGCCACACUGGGACUGAGACACGGCCCAGACUCCUACGGAAGGCAGCAGUGGGGAAUCUUAGACAAUGGGGGCAACCCUGAUCUAGCCAUGCCGCGUGAGUGAUGAAGGCCUUAGGGUUGUAAAGCUCUUUCAGCUGGGAAGAUAAUGACGGUACCAGCAGAAGAAGCCCCGGCUAACUCCGUG
This 433-nucleotide ribosomal RNA is filed under the name uncultured bacterium. RNAcentral describes it as "partial 16S ribosomal RNA". It matches the Rfam family "Bacterial small subunit ribosomal RNA", at positions 29 to 507 of the family's 1533-position model. The record is from RNAcentral.